Molecule: unclassified non-coding RNA, 396 nt
Filed under: uncultured fungus
Lineage: Eukaryota; Fungi
Also listed under: 1 other name
Description: partial contains 5.8S ribosomal RNA, internal transcribed spacer 2, and large subunit ribosomal RNA
Source: RNAcentral
AACGCACCUUGCGCUCCCGGCAGAUCUAAUCUGGGGAGCAUGCCUGUUUGAGGGCCGCGAAUUGUUUCGAACGACGGCUUUCUUCCAUGUGGAAGAGAGUUGGCGGAUCGGUAUUGAGGGUUUUGCCGUUCACCGUGGCUUCCUCGAAAUGCAUUAGCGCAUCCAUUCAAUAGGCAAGACGGACGAAAGCUUGAUUUUCGCCCCUCGUCUUCCCUGCCGGGUUUUGAUAAUAUCAGGACUUCGGAGGUGGAGAGGUUGGGUUUGGAGCCGGACGCGACGUUUUGCUGGUUGGAGUGCUUCUGAACCCCGCCCAUGUUUCUGCUUGCAAAAGGGGGAAAAGGGAUUUCAAUUUCAAUUCAUCGGCCUCAGAUUGGUAGGACUACCCGCUGAACUUAA